GCCUGCGUGGUGUAGUGGUUUGAGUGCUGGACUACAACUCUGGAGACCUGGGUUCGAUUCCCCACUCAGGCA
Molecule: non-coding RNA, 72 nt
Organism: Phrynosoma platyrhinos (Desert horned lizard)
Lineage: Eukaryota; Metazoa; Chordata; Lepidosauria; Squamata; Phrynosomatidae
Source: the annotation of a GenBank genome assembly